AGAACGAACGCUGGCGGCAUGCCUAACACAUGCAAGUCGAACGCUUUUGGGGCUUCGGUCCCAAAGGAGUGGCGCACGGGUGAGUAGCGCGUGGGAACCUGCCCUGUUGUGGGGGAUAACCGAGGGAAACUUCGGCUAAUACCGCAUACGCCCGGGGGAAACUCCGGGGAAAGAUUUAUCGCAGCAGGAGGGGCCCGCGUCGGAUUAGGUAGUUGGUGGGGUAACGGCCCACCAAGCCUGUGAUCCGUAGCUGGUCUGAGAGGAUGAUCAGCCACACUGGGACUGAGACACGGCCCAGACUCCUACGGGAGGCAGCAGUGGGGAAUAUUGGACAAUGGGCGCAAGCCUGAUCCAGCAAUGCCGCGUGAGUGAUGAAGGCCUUCGGGUUGUAAAGCUCUUUCGCACGCGACGAUGAUGACGGUAGCGGUGAGAAGAAGCCCCGGCUAACUUCGUGCCAGCAGCCGA
This 465-nucleotide ribosomal RNA is filed under the name uncultured bacterium. RNAcentral describes it as "SSU rRNA". It matches the Rfam family "Bacterial small subunit ribosomal RNA", at positions 26 to 518 of the family's 1533-position model. The record is from RNAcentral.